This 254-nucleotide unclassified non-coding RNA is filed under the name Hevea brasiliensis (rubber tree). Lineage: Eukaryota; Viridiplantae; Streptophyta; Magnoliopsida; Malpighiales; Euphorbiaceae. The record is from RNAcentral.
GCCACAGCUGCUAAAUGUAGCAAGAAUAACUCACCUCUAUCCUUCAUAAGAAAACCUAUUGCGCCCUAUUCAUUAAUGGAAAAAUCAUAGGACCAAAGUCAUAAAAUUGAAAAGGAAACGAAAAAUGUGCUCGACUCUACCUAUAUGACUUCUGUAAUGCAAACCGUCGCCCAAAAUCAAUAUAAUGAACGAAUCCAGACUGAAAAGGGUAUUCAGAAAGACCACAUGAUGAAAGGAAAGGAAAGGAAUGGAAA